GGGCUUCACACGUCAUACAAUGGUCGGUACAGAGGGUUGCCAAGCCGCGAGGCGGAGCCAAUCCCACAAAGCCGAUCGUAGUCCGGAUUGUUCUCUGCAACUCGAGAGCAUGAAGUCGGAAUCGCUAGUAAUCGCAGGUCAGCAUACUGCGGUGAAUACGUUCCCGGGUCGUU
Molecule: ribosomal RNA, 173 nt
Filed under: uncultured Thiobacillus sp.
Lineage: Bacteria; Pseudomonadati; Pseudomonadota; Betaproteobacteria; Nitrosomonadales; Thiobacillaceae
Description: partial 16S ribosomal RNA
Rfam family: Bacterial small subunit ribosomal RNA
Source: RNAcentral